UACAGAGGGUGCGAGCGUUAAUCGGAAUUACUGGGCGUAAAGCGUGCGUAGGCGGUCAUGUAAGUCGGGUGUGAAAGCCCCGGGCUCAACCUGGGAAUUGCAUUCGAGACUGCAUGGCUAGGAUGCGGAAGAGGGAAGCGGAAUUUCCGGUGUAGCGGUGAAAUGCGUAGAUAUCGGAAGGAACACCAGUGGCGAAAGCGGCUUCCUGGUCCAGCAUCGACGUUCAGGCACGAAAGCGUGGGGAGCAAACAGG
Molecule: ribosomal RNA, 253 nt
Filed under: uncultured bacterium
Lineage: Bacteria
Description: partial 16S ribosomal RNA
Rfam family: Bacterial small subunit ribosomal RNA
Source: RNAcentral